UACGAAGGGUGCAAGCGUUGUUCGGAAUUACUGGGCGUAAAGGGCGUGUAGGCGGAUUAACCAGUCAGGAGUGAAAUCCCGGGGCUUAACUUCGGAAUUGCUUUUGAGACGGUUAAUCUAGAGUAUAUUAGGGGACAAUGGAACGCCCAGUGUAGAGGUGAAAUUCGUAGAUAUUGGGUAGAACACCGGAGGCGAAGGCGAUUGUCUGGGGUAUAACUGACGCUGAGGCGCGAAAGCGUGGGGAUCAAAC
This 250-nucleotide ribosomal RNA is filed under the name uncultured prokaryote. RNAcentral's name for it is "partial 16S ribosomal RNA". It matches the Rfam family "Bacterial small subunit ribosomal RNA", at positions 524 to 773 of the family's 1533-position model. The record is from RNAcentral.